CUUCAUCCACACAUGACCAUAAUCAUACAUAACUCUACUCCCUCUCUUAAAAACAAGAAAAAUAGCAACACACACAAUCCUUUACAACCAUCAUAUUCUUCUUCUUCAAUAACCUUCCUCAACUCUUCUUCAAACAAAACCUCUAAUCAUUCUUCAACCUUUACAUAACCUAUCCACCAAAACCGUGACCACAACCGUUCUUACCGGCGAGCUUUGAUCUUCAAACUAAGCGAAAGUAAUGUUAUCCUUCAUCUUCAUUUACGUUCAACCCUUCGUUGAAACCGCCGACCGACAUACGUAGCUCAC
This 306-nucleotide long non-coding RNA is filed under the name Lathyrus oleraceus (garden pea). RNAcentral's name for it is "Pisum sativum (pea) long non-coding RNA (PSAT_LNC038240)". Lineage: Eukaryota; Viridiplantae; Streptophyta; Magnoliopsida; Fabales; Fabaceae. The record is from RNAcentral.